ACCCGCUGAAUUUAAGCAUAUAACUAAGCGGAGGAAAAGAAACUAACAAGGAUUCCCCUAGUAAGGGCGACUGAAGCGGGAUCAGCCCAGAUUGUAAACUGACCUUAAUCAAGGUUGGGUUGUAGUCUAAAGAGGCGACGCCAGGCAAGGUCCGGGGAGAAGUCCCUUGGAACAGGGCAUCGGAGAGGGUGACAAUCCCGUCUGUGCCUCGGACCGCGUCGUACGGUGCGUCUUCGACGAGUCGGUUUGCUUGGGAUUGCAGACCAAACGGGUGGUAAAUUCCAUCUAAGGCUAAAUACGGGUGGGAGACCGAUAGCGAACAAGUACCGUGAGGGAAAGAUGCAAAGAACUUUGGAAAGAGAGUUAAAAAGGGCCUGAAACUGGUAAGAGGGAACCGAACGGCAGAAGUGGUGAUGGGCGCGUAUUUUCCGCCGGGCUCUUGGCCGGCGUACUUGUGCGCGUCCGUAGGUCAGCGUGGGUUGGGGCGUGGGAGUCGUUCAUGGGAAGGUCUUCGGACCAAUCUCGUGUUCAGGCCGCGCCUGAGACCUUCGGUGACGAAAUUCUUCCGUUCACCCCGUCUUGAAACACGGACCAAGGAGUCUAAAAUACGAGCGAGUGCGCCGGUGGCAACCCGGGGCGCGUAAUGAAAGUGAGACCGACGGUGGGAGGGCUUUACGUCCGCACCAUCAACCGACCAGGAUCCUUCGGGUGAAAGGUUUGAGUGUAGCUUGUAUUUUGGGACCCGAAAGAUGGUGAACUAUGCCUGAAUAGGGCGAAGCCAGGGGAAACUCUGGUGGAGGCUCGUAGCGAUUCUGACGUGCAAAUCGAUCGUCAAAUUUGGGUAUAGGGGCGAAAGACUAAUCGAACCAUCUAGUAGCUGGUUCCCUCCGAAAUUUCCCUCAGGAUAGCAGCAAUCGAAGAGUUUUAUCAGGUAAAGCGAAUGAUUAGAGGCCUCAGGGGUGGAACGUCCUUGACCUAUUCUCAAACUUUAAAUGGGUAAGAGCCAGGGGUUGCUUAAGUGAACCCCUCGGUCGAAUCGCGGUUGCUAGUGGGCCACCCGGGGUAAGCUCGGUUGGCGAUGCGGGAUGAUCCGAACGUCGAGUUAAAGUGCCUCACUGCCCGCUCACCUAGAUCCCACAAAAGGUGUUGGUUCAUUUAGACAGCAGGACGGUGGCCAUGGAAGUCGGAACCCGCUAAGGAGUGUGUAACAACUCACCUGCCGAAUGGAUUAGCCCUGAAAAUGGAUGGCGCUGAAGCGAGCGACUUAUACUCGACCAUCACGGCAAGUGCGACGCCGUGAUGAGUAGGAGGGCGUGGGGCUCGUGGCGCAUCCCGCGGCGUGAGCCGGGGUGAAACGGGCUCUAGUGCAGAUCUUGGUGGUAGUAGC
Molecule: ribosomal RNA, 1387 nt
Filed under: Aureococcus anophagefferens
Lineage: Eukaryota; Pelagophyceae; Pelagomonadales; Pelagomonadaceae
Description: partial large subunit ribosomal RNA
Rfam family: Eukaryotic large subunit ribosomal RNA
Source: RNAcentral